Molecule: ribosomal RNA, 362 nt
Filed under: Proteus mirabilis
Lineage: Bacteria; Pseudomonadati; Pseudomonadota; Gammaproteobacteria; Enterobacterales; Morganellaceae
Description: bacterial SSU rRNA
Rfam family: Bacterial small subunit ribosomal RNA
Source: RNAcentral
UAAUUGAAGAGUUUGAUCAUGGCUCAGAUUGAACGCUGGCGGCAGGCCUAACACAUGCAAGUCGAGCGGUAACAGGAGAAAGCUUGCUUUCUUGCUGACGAGCGGCGGACGGGUGAGUAAUGUAUGGGGAUCUGCCCGAUAGAGGGGGAUAACUACUGGAAACGGUGGCUAAUACCGCAUAAUGUCUACGGACCAAAGCAGGGGCUCUUCGGACCUUGCACUAUCGGAUGAACCCAUAUGGGAUUAGCUAGUAGGUGGGGUAAAGGCUCACCUAGGCGACGAUCUCUAGCUGGUCUGAGAGGAUGAUCAGCCACACUGGGACUGAGACACGGCCCAGACUCCUACGGGAGGCAGCAGUGGGG